This 1486-nucleotide long non-coding RNA is filed under the name Equus caballus (horse). Its description in RNAcentral is "lncRNA (ENSECAG00000056363.1)". Lineage: Eukaryota; Metazoa; Chordata; Mammalia; Perissodactyla; Equidae. The record is from RNAcentral.
UCUCUCCAAGCUUGUUAUACUGAAUCUUCACUUCCUGGAAAGGUAAGGCAGUUCCUAACUUGUGAACCUAUAAAAGCUGGCUUAGCCUUACAUUAGUAUUGACUCCAGGAACGAAACAUUUGAUUUAGAAUGACUUAGAAUUAUAUUCCGCUGGAGUUUGGGUGCUAGAGUUGGAAACAAUGUACCCUACUGAAGCAGCAGAUUCUCUUGGAUUACUAAACAUGGAGGGAAAAGCACUUAAACCUGGCUUGGAGAAAGAGAAGAGAGGAGAGUCAUAUUCAAGGACUGUACUCUAAAUAUUCCUCCAAUAACAACAGCUUCUUGCAGAAACUCAGGUCAGAUGUCUUCAGGCUACAGCGCAGUGGAAUAAAAACAUCGUCCAGCUCUCAUUGAAUGGGGAAUUUAUCAGGCUGUAUUUUAAAAAAUCUCCUUUUGUGCAACUAGUGAGAGUCUCAGGAACCAUGUUUAUAUCCAUAAUAAUGAAGCUAGAUAAGGGUGCCUGACUCAGAUUCCGCCCAUCAAAACAAACCAGCCAAGCACCAUGUGAAAAGCUUUGAUAAGGCCCUGUGAAGACCGCUUAUGCAGUCCAUUUGUCAUUGAACAUGUUUCCUCCUUAGCACAAUAUUUUUAAACAGCUUGAUUUUUUAAAAAAAUCAAUAGUCUUUGAGUAAGAAUGAUAUCAGGACAACAGUCUUCAAUUUAAUAUUGAGGGCUUAUUUCACAUCUCUUUCAGCUUUAAACCAACUUGCUUGUAUCAUAGUCCAAAUUCCAACAGUGACUUUCCAAUGCUUCCAGAUGAAUUCAUAAUUUCUUUUGUCAUGUAACACAGGCACAGUUUUCUUUUUCUUUUACUGGUGGUUUUCAAACCUAAUUUUUGAGCAGAGGAAACUCUUUUAUCAAAUAAAAUCUUACUCAGAACUCCACAGCAGAGUGGAACUACUCAGGAAGUGUCCCUUAUCUGGAAGGUCAUUGGGAAACCACUGCCUUAUUGCAAAAAUGCUUUGUUUGACUUGCAGAUUUCAUAGCCAGAAUAGAGAAGCAAUCAACAUGUAAUUUCCUCAAACAAUGGAAAUUCAUUAAGUAGCACCUAACUAGAAAAUAAUAAUAUAUAGUAACUAAAUUCAUGAAAAAGUUGCAUUGCAGUAUUAUGCUUUGUCACUAGAAAUAGAAAUGGCCACAGGCUAAAGCUUGCACUUUCAAGUCUGCAUUCCCUACUUGCAUUCAGGUGUGAUGGUCUGGAGUUCUGGGGCAGCACAUAAGCAGUUGGCUCUCUGGCCUCUCUCCCAAAUGAGUGUCCUCCCAAUAAUCAAAGUUUGCAUUUGUCCUAGGUCCAGGCCUUUCCAUCCUGGUGACUGAUCACUGGGAACGUGGGUCCAGAAUAUGGCCCAUCUGGAGGGAAUCUAUAGCAGAAAUAGUGCAAAGACAUUCUCCUAAGUUGUUCUGGCUUUGACAUAAGACUGAGGAGAGUGGAAUUUUUCUUCCAACC